This 305-nucleotide ribosomal RNA is filed under the name uncultured bacterium. RNAcentral describes it as "bacterial SSU rRNA". It matches the Rfam family "Bacterial small subunit ribosomal RNA", at positions 337 to 640 of the family's 1533-position model. The record is from RNAcentral.
CCCUACGGGGGGCAGCAGUGAGGAAUAUUGGUCAAUGGGCGGGAGCCUGAACCAGCCAAGCCGCGUGAGGGAAGAAGGUACAGCGUAUCGUAAACCUCUUUUGUCAGGGAACAAAGGCGGGGACUAGUCCCCGGAUGAGGGUACCUGAAGAAAAAGCAUCGGCUAACUCCGUGCCAGCAGCCGCGGUAAUACGGAGGAUGCGAGCGUUAUCCGGAUUUAUUGGGUUUAAAGGGUGCGCAGGCGGCCUGUUAAGUCAGCGGUGAAAGCCCGGGGCUCAACCCAGGCGAGCCGUUGAAACGGGCGGG